GUUCCCAGAAAAGUCUCUUCAGUUGUCCAGGAUGGGAUCCACGGCGCCCCAGACUCUCCUCCUGCUGCUCGCGGGGGCCACGGCCCUGACCGAGACCCGGGCGGGCUCCCACUCACUGAUGUAUUUUCUCACCGGCGUGUCCCAGCCCGGCCUCGGGGAGCCCCAUUUCAUGGCUGUGGGCUACGUGGACGACACGCAGCUCGUGCACUUCGACAGCGACGCCGAGAACCCGCGGGCAGAACCUCGGGCGCUGUGGAUGCAGCAGGUGGAGCAGGUGUACUUGCACAGGCACACACAGAGGGGUAAACAGCAGACGCAGAUUAACAUUGUGGACCUGAACAACCUGCGUGGCUACUACAACCAGAGCAAGGCCGGCUCUCACAUCCUCCAGAAGAUGUAUGGCUGCGAAGUCGGGGCAGAUGGACGCCUCCUCCGCGGAUACUGGCAGUGGGCCUGCAAUAACAAGGACUACAUUGUCCUGAAUGAGGACCUGCGCACCUGGACAGCGGCUGACACGGCAGCUCAGAUCAGCAAGCGCAAGUGGGAGGCUGACGGUGAUGCAGAGGACUUCAGGGCCUACCUGGAGGGGGAGUGCUUAGAGUUGUUAACCAGAUUCCUGGAGUUGGGGAAGGAGACACUACAGCGAACAGACCCACCCACAGCACAUGUGACUCACCACCCAGUCUCUGACCAGAAGGCCACCCUCAGGUGCUGGGCCCUGGGCUUCUACCCCAAGGACAUCACACUCACCUGGCAGCGAGAUGGGGAGGACCUGACCCAGGACAUGGAGCUGGUGGAGACCAGGCCUUCAGGGGAUGGAACCUUCCAGAAGUGGGCAUCUGUGCUGGUGCCUUCUGGAGAGGAGCAGAGGGAAACACGAGGGGUUGCUUGAGCCCCUCACCCUAGGAUGGGAGCCUCCUCAGCCCACGGUGCCCAUGUGGGGAGUCAUCUCUGGCCUGGUCCUCCUGGCAGCUGUGCUCAUUGGAGCUGUGGUCCCUGCUAUGAUUAAGAGGAAGCGCUCAGGUGGGAAAGGAGGGAGCUACACUAAGGCUGCAAGUGGAGACAGUGCCCAGGGCUCUGACUGCUUUUUCACAGCUUGAAAGGUGAGACCUGG
RNA transcript from Ochotona princeps (American pika), 1114 nucleotides. It is a transcript of the gene named patr class I histocompatibility antigen, B-2 alpha chain-like, with no coding region annotated. The record is from RefSeq and is a predicted model, not a curated record. NCBI's taxonomy places the organism in Eukaryota, Metazoa, Chordata, Mammalia, Lagomorpha, Ochotonidae. The transcript has 8 exons.